UCACAAUACCUACUCUCACAAAAUUUUCUUUUUAAUUUCAUUCACUUUCCCCUCCGCUCUUGCAAUUCCUCUCUAGUGCGACUCAUCUUCUUCAAAUCGGUUGAUUUUCGGUGUUCCUGCAUAUGUUUUCACCUUCGUUGCGGUUACUCCUAUUUCAAUUUGCUAGGUUGAUCUGGUAAUUUCCUCCUCCAAUCAUCCUAGAGAGCCUCCCAGAAGAUCAAAAUCAGCAGCCACCUAUCAAUCUUCAUGACUAACAGAAAUGCAAGUUCAGCAAGAGAAGAUGACAUGCGCGAUUUAAAAGAUCUGUCUGUUUUUGAGAUGCCCGGAAACAGAGUUGAUACUGAUCAAAUGAGUACGCUAAUAGGGAAUACAUGUUCUAAAGUGCGUACUGCGUUGCAAGAAACUCAAAUUGUAGAACCAUAACCAUAAUAGAGUUAGUUCCUCGAGUUUGUGUCUAUUUUUCUUUCAGCAUGGUUAAAUUGAUCCUUGGGAGGUACCAGAUUCUGCUCAUCCAAGAACUAUAAUCAUCUAAUAUACUAACAUAUACCAUCACACUGUAUUUUUACUUGGAUCGGGUUGGAUUGUUUGGUACCUCCCUGGAAUUUGUGUGAUAUUCCUCUGGAUAUUCCUAGCCGAAGUUUAAUUUGUAAACUUACAUUGUUCUGUUUCUUCUCACUCAUCUAUAGUUGAUUGGCUUCUUUUACCGACAAAGCAGACCGCUACCCAACAAUAGUGUUUCGAGGAUCGACAUGCCUUUGAACUUCAGUGUGUCCUUGAAUUCUUCCACAUUUCCACAUCCGAAUGAGUUAUCAGCUCCAACAUCUCCCUGGAAUGCGUCCAAGAGGAUUUUGAUGGAGCUCAAGGAGAAAGAUCCUCCUACUUCUCGAACUGAUGUCACAUUAAUCCUCUGGAGACAAGCUGGUCUGAUUAUCCUUUGGAGAGACUAAUUCUGAUAUAUGAUGUUGUUUCCAAUUCUAUAUAUUCUGGCAGAGAUGAGAUUAUUGAGUGGGAUAAGGAAGUUAAACAACUAGGUAAGGCACUCUUGGGCUAUUCUCUCAAGGAUUGGGAGUGGAGGCUGAUAAGUUGAAAGAGAAAUCAUGUUCAGGAGACAGAGUUAUGGCCGGCCACUAUUAUCCAUAUUGUCCCCAGCUCAACAAGACAGUUCGGAACUUGUGAUCGCAUCCCAUACUGAUCCUGGCGUUCUCACACUGUUGCUGCAGGAUCAAUUUGGUGGGUUGCAAGUUAAACUUGAGGGGAAAUGGGUUAAUGUCAAGCCAAUCCAAGGUGCACUUGUUACCAAUGUCGGCGACUUGCUUUAGCUCCUCUCGAAUGAUAAGUACAUGAGUGUAGAACACCGAGCGUAUGCUAAUCCUCAGCAAGAACCACGAGUCUCAGUUGUUGUGUUCUUUAACCUAAGCACGAGGGAAAACUUGUACGGACCCCUACCAGAGAUAGUAUCACCUGAAGAGCCUGCACUAUACAACCAUCGAAUUAUUCCUCGGUGCAAGAUUUCAACCAAGAAUGAAUUAAAUCGUUAAUGCACUAAACAUCGAGAUGUGAGGAUGAAAAUUAUUGUUCAAAGGCUGGAGUUGAAACAAGUUCAAGUGGUGGUCAAGCCUGCUGAUAAAUCAGUGGAACGGCUGAAAGACUACAUCAAUGUUAGAGCAUGGAGGGGUUAAGUUUGUCAAAGAGAGGGGAAAUCGGGUUUUGAAGUGUUGUAGGUCUUUUCCCAGUAUGUUGACAUCCUAGAGUUUUGUGGUGUUCCACCAAUACAACUAGAGAGGCGGUUGCAUGAGGUACUUGAAGCAAGACAAGAACUACGGAUAACAGAACUCGAAGCACAUCUAGAACGCAUGAAGCAAAGGCUUGAGAAGGAGGUAGAAGUCACUUGGUGGAAAGACACUGUAUCCUCUGCAAAAGAAUGGCAUGGAUUCCCGAUAUUAUGUAAUGAGAUUCAUUUAAGAGAUGCUUGACCAUAAGCAAACUCGAAUAUUUGAAAGAUUACUUUCAUGAUUGCAAUAUUCCGAAUUAUGAUCAAGAACAGAUUGAUGAAGUCAUAGCUCAAUGGACUCGUCGUGUUCUUCUCGUGUGAAUACUGUGGUGGAUUAAUUGUAUUUUUAUUCUAAUUUUAGUGUGUUGAUUUGAAAUUAAAAGAAGUAUUAUAUAACAUAGAUACUUCUUUCUUUUUUCUAUUUUUUUUCCUAGUGUGUUUAAUUAGGUAACAUUGCAUAUGAUUUUAAGUUAUGGGACAUGAGACGUUUAUUUGAUAUGAUAGAAAUGAAAUUAGAUGUUAUGUAUAUAUAUUCAAUUUUUUUUU
Molecule: long non-coding RNA, 2317 nt
Organism: Spinacia oleracea (spinach)
Lineage: Eukaryota; Viridiplantae; Streptophyta; Magnoliopsida; Caryophyllales; Amaranthaceae
Exons: 8
Source: RefSeq, a predicted model, not a curated record